CCGAGUUUACAACUCCCAAAACCCAAUGUGAACAUACCUUCAGUUGCUUCGGCGGACUCGCCCCAGCGUCCGGACGGCCUCGCGCCGCCCGCGGCCUGGAGCCAGGCGGCCGCCGGAGACCCCCCAAACUCUCUGUAUUGUACAGUCUCUUCUGAAUCCUGCCGCAAGGCACUAUAAAUGAAUCA
Molecule: unclassified non-coding RNA, 185 nt
Filed under: uncultured Cordyceps
Lineage: Eukaryota; Fungi; Ascomycota; Sordariomycetes; Hypocreales; Cordycipitaceae
Description: sequence contains ITS1
Source: RNAcentral